This 740-nucleotide long non-coding RNA is filed under the name Calidris pugnax (ruff). RNAcentral's name for it is "lncRNA (ENSCPUG00000002596.1)". The record is from RNAcentral. Lineage: Eukaryota; Metazoa; Chordata; Aves; Charadriiformes; Scolopacidae.
CGCGAAGCCGAGUAUCCGCCCUGGCGGCAGGUCGGGGCUGGCCCUGAGGGGAGCCUGAGCGGCGGCUCGGCACCGGUGGCAGCCCUGAGGCGUGGGGACGGCCGGCGGAGAGGCGAUCCCUCUGGCCCCGCGGCUGCCGAGAUGCCCUCGGAGGAACCGUGCUGAGGGGCAGUGAAGUGACUCGGGGGCGAAGGGCAUGCCGGGGGGAGGAGGGAGUGGCGUGGAGGCGGCCCAAGAGCGGCCUGUGGCCUAAGGUUCCAUCCCCUUGGCAAAGGCAGGCCGUGAGUAACCAACUGCCUGGAAGCCUCAAAGGAGCCGUGAGGGGAAGGCACACGCUGGGUGCCAGACGCGCAGGAAGCUGUGGUGGGAAGGAGCACACAAAGGUACCAAGGCGGUAAUCUAACAAGAAAUCUAAGACACUGCAAAAUCUAGGAGGAAAUCAGAGCUUUGAGGCAGAGACUGAUCACUUCUGUGCCUCUGUGUACAGAGAUUUGGGGUUUGUCUUCUGAAUUCAUGGUGGACUGGCUAGAUUAAAAAGCUGCGUGUCCCUUAGUUCUAGUUCCUUUCCUGUUCCCGUAAUUCAUUGCGGAGCUUGUAUUAUCCCAGGUUGUGAUGCAACAGUUCCCAUCUGAGAUUUUUCUUUACAAAACUGAUGUUCAUUAGUGUGUUAAACUACAGAUGCCAAAGCCUGGUACAAUUGUUUGCAAUUUUACGGCAAUAAAUUGUACUUAAGCUCUGCA